GCAGUAGCCGCGGGAAUACGUAGGGUGCGAGCGUUAAUCGGAAUUACUGGGCGUAAAGCGUGCGCAGGCGGUUGUGUAAGACAGGUGUGAAUCCCCGGGCUUAACCUGGGAACUGCGCUUGUGACUGCACAGCUAGAGUAUGGCAGAGGGGGGUGGAAUUCCACGUGUAGCAGUGAAAUGCGUAGAGAUGUGGAGGAACACCGAUGGCGAAGGCAGCCCCCUGGGCCAAUACUGACGCUCAUGCACGAAAGCGUGGGGAGCAAACAGGAUUAGAUACCCCUGUAGUCCCUGUCUCUUAUACC
Molecule: ribosomal RNA, 302 nt
Filed under: uncultured bacterium
Lineage: Bacteria
Description: partial 16S ribosomal RNA
Rfam family: Bacterial small subunit ribosomal RNA
Source: RNAcentral